AGAAAAGUAAGCUAAUUAAGCUAAUGGGUUCAUACCCCAUAAAUAGAGGUUUCCUCUCUUCUCUA
Molecule: transfer RNA, 65 nt
Filed under: Allacta bruna
Lineage: Eukaryota; Metazoa; Arthropoda; Insecta; Blattodea; Pseudophyllodromiidae
Description: tRNA-Met
Source: RNAcentral